RNAcentral lists this ribosomal RNA (468 nucleotides) under uncultured bacterium. Its description in RNAcentral is "partial 16S ribosomal RNA". It matches the Rfam family "Bacterial small subunit ribosomal RNA", at positions 28 to 507 of the family's 1533-position model. The record is from RNAcentral.
GACGAACGCUGGCGGCGUGCUUAACACAUGCAAGUCGAACGGUGAAGCUCCAGCUUGCUGGAGUGGAUCAGUGGCGAACGGGUGAGUAACACGUGAGCAACCUGCCCCUGACUCUGGAAUAAGCGCUGGAAACGGCGUCUAAUACUGGAUAUGAGAAGGGUCCGCAUGGACACUUUCUGGAAAGUUUUUCGGUUGGGGAUGGGCUCGCGGCCUAUCAGCUUGUUGGUGAGGUAAUGGCUCACCAAGGCGACGACGGGUAGCCGGCCUGAGAGGGCGACCGGCCACACUGGGACUGAGACACGGCCCAGACUCCUACGGGAGGCAGCAGUGGGGAAUAUUGCACAAUGGGCGAAAGCCUGAUGCAGCGACGCCGCGUGAGGGAUGACGGCCUUCGGGUUGUAAACCUCUUUCAGCAGGGAAGAAGCGAAAGUGGCGGUACCUGCAGAAGAAGCACCGGCUAACUACGUG